CGGAUCGGAGUCUGCAACCCGACUCCGUGAAGCUGGAUUCGCUAGUAAUCGCGCAUCAGCCAUGGCGCGGUGAAUACGUUCCCGGGCCUUGUACACACCGCCCGUCAAGCCAUGGAAGCCGGGGGGCGCUUGAAGUGCGUUGCCGCAAGGCGCGCCCUAGAGCGAAACCGGUGACUGGGGCUAAGUCGUAACAAGGUAAC
Molecule: ribosomal RNA, 200 nt
Filed under: uncultured bacterium
Lineage: Bacteria
Description: partial 16S ribosomal RNA
Rfam family: Bacterial small subunit ribosomal RNA
Source: RNAcentral